This 483-nucleotide ribosomal RNA is filed under the name uncultured bacterium. RNAcentral describes it as "partial 16S ribosomal RNA". It matches the Rfam family "Bacterial small subunit ribosomal RNA", at positions 29 to 507 of the family's 1533-position model. The record is from RNAcentral.
UUGAACGCUGGCGGCAUGCUUUACACCUGCAAGUCGAACGGCAGCGCGGGCUUCGGCCUGGCGGCGAGUGGCGAACGGGUGAGUAAUGCAUCGGAACGUGCCCAGUAGUGGGGGAUAGCCCGGCGAAAGCCGGAUUAAUACCGCAUACGACCUGAGGGUGAAAGCGGGGGACCGAAAGGCCUCGCGCUAUUGGAGCGGCCGAUGUCGGAUUAGCUAGUUGGUGGGGUAAAGGCUUACCAAGGCGACGAUCCGUAGCUGGUCUGAGAGGACGACCAGCCACACUGGGACUGAGACACGGCCCAGACUCCUACGGGAGGCAGCAGUGGGGAAUUUUGGACAAUGGGGGCAACCCUGAUCCAGCCAUGCCGCGUGCGGGAAGAAGGCCUUCGGGUUGUAAACCGCUUUUGUUCGGGAAGAAAUCCUCUGGGCUAAUACCCCGGGGGGAUGACGGUACCGGAAGAAUAAGCACCGGCUAACUACGUG